AAAUUGAAGAGUUUGAUCAUGGCUCAGAUUGAACGCUGGCGGCAGGCCUAACACAUGCAAGUCGAGCGGAAACGGCAGUAUUGAAGCUUCGGUGGAUUUACUGGACGUCGAGCGGCGGACGGGUGAGUAACGGCUGGGAACCUGCCCUGAUGAGGGGGAUAACCGUUGGAAACGACGGCUAAUACCGCAUAAUGUCUACGGACCAAAGGUGGCCUCUACAUGUAAGCUAUCGCGUUGGGAUGGGCCCAGUUAGGAUUAGCUAGUUGGUAAGGUAAUGGCUUACCAAGGCGACGAUCCUUAGCUGGUUUGAGAGGAUGAUCAGCCACACUGGGACUGAGACACGGCCCAGACUCCUACGGGAGGCAGCAGUGGGGAAUAUUGCACAAUGGGGGAGACCCUGAUGCAGCCAUGCCGCGUGUGUGAAGAAGGCCUUCGGGUUGUAAAGCACUUUCAGCAGUGAGGAAGGUGGUGUACUUAAUAGGUGCAUGGCUUGACGUUAGCUGCAGAAGAAGCACCGGCUAACUCCGUGCCAGCAGCCGCGGUAAUACGGAGGGUGCGAGCGUUAAUCGGAAUUACUGGGCGUAAAGCGCAUGCAGGCGGUUUGUUAAGUCAGAUGUGAAAGCCCGGGGCUCAACCUCGGAACCGCAUUUGAAACUGGCAGGCUAGAGUCUUGUAGAGGGGGGUAGAAUUUCAGGUGUAGCGGUGAAAUGCGUAGAGAU
RNAcentral lists this non-coding RNA (719 nucleotides) under Salinivibrio sp. KP-1. Its description in RNAcentral is "Bacterial small subunit ribosomal RNA". It matches the Rfam family "Bacterial small subunit ribosomal RNA", at positions 1 to 697 of the family's 1533-position model. Lineage: Bacteria; Pseudomonadati; Pseudomonadota; Gammaproteobacteria; Vibrionales; Vibrionaceae. The record is from Rfam by way of RNAcentral.